This is a long non-coding RNA of Meleagris gallopavo (turkey), 347 nucleotides long. RefSeq lists it as uncharacterized. NCBI's taxonomy places the organism in Eukaryota, Metazoa, Chordata, Aves, Galliformes, Phasianidae. The record is from RefSeq and is a predicted model, not a curated record.
CUAUGAGAGCUCACUUUUUCUGAUAACUUUUCAGAGUCACUGAAGUUUUUCACCAGGAGGUAUUACUGAGCCAUCCUGCCUGGGUCCUCUGCCCUCCUGUCUGAGCUGGAAGUCAGUGCUCCAUCCUCUGAGCCCUCUGCUAUGAUGAUGCCUGGAUGGUCAUUGGGCCCCCAUUUUGUUUCUCGAAAUCAACAGCAGAACCAAAGAUGUCCUGGGAGAGGGGAAUUCGUGCCCUUAGAAUAGCUGCAUGGAUGAAACAGAGGAUGAAAAAGCUUGAACACAAAUGUCUUGAUAAUAAACACAAAUGUGUUUAUUGCCAUGUAUUAAAGGUAAGAAUGGAAAAAUGA